Molecule: microRNA precursor, 84 nt
Organism: Astyanax mexicanus (Mexican tetra)
Lineage: Eukaryota; Metazoa; Chordata; Actinopteri; Characiformes; Acestrorhamphidae
Rfam family: mir-221 microRNA precursor family
Source: Rfam
GUGGUUUUGUACCUGGCAUUCAGUGUAGAAAUCUGUGUUUGCGAACCUACAGCUACAUUGUCUGCUGGGUUUCAGAGCCGCCUU